UGUGCUAAGGUAGCAUAAUCAUUAGUCUUUUAAUUAAAGGCUUGUAUGAAAGGUGAAACAAUUAAUUUUCUUUCUUAUUUAAUUUUUUCAAAAUUAUAUUAAAUAUAAAAAUAUAUUUAUAAAUAUAUAAGACGACAAGACCCUAUUGAACUUUACUUUAGUUUAGCUGGGGUAGCUAAUUAAACAAAAUUUUAAUUUAUUAUAUAUCUAUAUAUAUAUAUAUAAAUAAUAAAUGACCCAACUAUAGUUGAUUUUAUGAAUUAAGUUACCAUAGGGAUAACAGCAUAAUUUUUUUUUAAAGCUCAUAUUUGAAAAAAAGAUUGUGACCUCGAUGUUGAAUUAUUGUUACAUUUACUACGCAAUAGUAUAAAAUGUAGGUCUGUUCGACCUUUAAUACAUUACAUGAUUUGAGUUCAAAUCGGUGUAAACCAGAUUGGUUUCUAUCUAUAUAAUAUAUUUUUAUUUAGUACGAAAGGACCAAUAGAUUUAUUUUAAAU
RNAcentral lists this ribosomal RNA (497 nucleotides) under Nephilengys dodo. RNAcentral describes it as "partial 16S ribosomal RNA". It matches the Rfam family "Bacterial large subunit ribosomal RNA", at positions 1947 to 2711 of the family's 2925-position model. Lineage: Eukaryota; Metazoa; Arthropoda; Arachnida; Araneae; Nephilidae. The record is from RNAcentral.